This 76-nucleotide transfer RNA is filed under the name Chloroflexota bacterium. RNAcentral's name for it is "Chloroflexi bacterium (marine sediment metagenome) tRNA-Glu". It matches the Rfam family "tRNA". From Rfam's summary of the family: Transfer RNA (tRNA) molecules are approximately 80 nucleotides in length. Their secondary structure includes four short double-helical elements and three loops (D, anti-codon, and T loops). The record is from RNAcentral. RNAcentral also lists the same sequence under 6 other names. Lineage: Bacteria; Bacillati; Chloroflexota.
GGCCCCAUCGUCUAGUGGCCCAGGACACGGCCCUCUCAAGGCUGAAACAGGGGUUCAAAUCCCCUUGGGGCUACCA